RNAcentral lists this ribosomal RNA (459 nucleotides) under uncultured bacterium. RNAcentral's name for it is "partial 16S ribosomal RNA". It matches the Rfam family "Bacterial small subunit ribosomal RNA", at positions 338 to 795 of the family's 1533-position model. The record is from RNAcentral.
CCUACGGGCGGCAGCAGUGAGGAAUAUUGGUCAAUGGUCGGGAGACUGAACCAGCCAAGCCGCGUGAGGGAUGAAGGUACAGAGUAUCGUAAACCUCUUUUGUCAGGGAACAAAGGCGGGGACGUGUCCCCGGAUGAGUGUACCUGAAGAAAAAGCAUCGGCUAACUCCGUGCCAGCAGCCGCGGUAAUACGGAGGAUGCGAGCGUUAUCCGGAUUUAUUGGGUUUAAAGGGUGCGCAGGCGGUCUGUUAAGUCAGCGGUAAAAGCCCGGGGCUCAACCCCGUCGCGCCGUUGAAACUGGCAGUCUCGAGUGGGAGAGAAGUAUGCGGAAUGCGCGGUGUAGCGGUGAAAUGCAUAGAUAUCGCGCAGAACUCCGAUUGCGAAGGCAGCAUGCCGGCUCCACACUGACGCUGAGGCACGAAAGCGUGGGUAUCGAACAGGAUUAGAUACCCGUGUAGUC